ACACCACUGAGUGACUUUCACUUUCACUUAUUAUAAAUACCAACCUCGAGGGAUUGUUGUGAGGAGUAAAUGAGUUUAUAUAUGGAGCUCAUCCAACCAUCUUGCGCAUAUGAGAGUUGCUCACACCAUAGGCUCCCAAUGGAGAGGAACUUGUGUGCCCAGGACACAUUGGAGGGAAUUGGGGAAAGAGAUGGAUUUAGUGGUGAGCAAAGCAACCUGAGGCCGGCUUAUUGGAAAAGAGCCUGAUGCUGGGGAAGAUUGAAGUCAGGAGGAGAAGGGGACGACAGAGGAUGAGAUGG
Odocoileus virginianus texanus is the source of this 299-nucleotide non-coding RNA. NCBI's taxonomy places the organism in Eukaryota, Metazoa, Chordata, Mammalia, Artiodactyla, Cervidae. The record is from RefSeq and is a predicted model, not a curated record.